GCCAGUGUGGUUUAGUGUUUGAACGUUGGAUGAUGACUCUGGAGAUCAGGGUUCAAUUCCCCACCUGGCC
Molecule: non-coding RNA, 70 nt
Organism: Phrynosoma platyrhinos (Desert horned lizard)
Lineage: Eukaryota; Metazoa; Chordata; Lepidosauria; Squamata; Phrynosomatidae
Source: the annotation of a GenBank genome assembly